RNAcentral lists this ribosomal RNA (465 nucleotides) under uncultured bacterium. Its description in RNAcentral is "partial 16S ribosomal RNA". It matches the Rfam family "Bacterial small subunit ribosomal RNA", at positions 28 to 507 of the family's 1533-position model. The record is from RNAcentral.
GACGAACGCUGGCGGCGUGCUUAACACAUGCAAGUCGUACGGUAAGGCCCUUUCGGGGGUGCACGAGUGGCGAACGGGUGAGUAACACGUGAGUAACCUGCCCACAACUUUGGGAUAACGCUAGGAAACUGGUGCUAAUACUGGAUAUGUGCUCCUGCUGCAUGGUGGGGGUUGGAAAGCUCCGGCGGUUGUGGAUGGACUCGCGGCCUAUCAGCUUGUUGGUGGGGUAGUGGCCUACCAAGGCGGCGACGGGUAGCCGGCCUGAGAGGGUGACCGGCCACAUUGGGACUGAGAUACGGCCCAGACUCCUACGGGAGGCAGCAGGGGGGAAUAUUGCACAAUGGGCGCAAGCCUGAUGCAGCAACGCCGCGUGCGGGAUGACGGCCUUCGGGUUGUAAACCGCUUUCAGCAGGGACGAAGCUUUUUGUGACGGUACCUGCAGAAGAAGCACCGGCUAACUACGUG